Heterocephalus glaber (naked mole-rat) is the source of this 1033-nucleotide long non-coding RNA. The record is from Ensembl. Lineage: Eukaryota; Metazoa; Chordata; Mammalia; Rodentia; Bathyergidae.
AGAUGGGCCUCAUUGUUUGGGGAGGUCUCUCCAAGUUUCUGCUCUUUGUGUUUACAACAUCAACUGAAGUCAUAUUUUAAGCGUGAAGGUGGUGGAAAACUGGACAGUCUCUGUGUUCUGACCUACAGAGAAGGACGUGAACUUGAGAGCCAUUCUUCUACGUUUGCUUUUCUCCUGGGCUAGGAGCACUCGGAACCACAGGGCGCGGGCUGGGUGGGGUCAGCAGGGGCCGGCGGGGUCAGCGGGCGCACACACAUUCCCGUCAUGCUCUGCUGUCUCGGUCCGGCUUCGCCCUCGACGCUGACUCUGCCACGAAGCAGUAUGGGCUGCGUUCCCAGGCUCCCAGAAAAGACCCUGACUUCUGUGGACUGCUCCUUUGCAUGUGCUGUCUCCAGCAGGGGUGCUGGCCUCAGGUUCCGUGGCUGGGAGCUGUGAUCUUUCCUCAUUUCUUACAGACUGCUCCUGAGCCAGAGAACAAAUACCAGUACUUCCGGGUGUCUGGUCCUCGUUAAGCCUGACCCAGUUGAUGGUUCACAGUUUUUACUCUGAAUUGACACCUCACCUGUGGCUGAAUAGCUGCCUCUAUCUUCACUUUUGAAGAAAAGGCCACAGGGGACUGCUCAGCGGUUGCCAGCACUUGUCCUCCCAGCUAGAAUGCCAUGUAACUGGGCUGCUGCUGUCACCACCUUCUUCCCCAGGGAACCAGCUCACCACAGGCCUCUGGGCCUCGCCUGGGGCCCCUGCCAAGCUCCCUGGAGUAUGGCCAUUCUGAGUUCUGUCUUGGAGCCCCUCACUGUCUGGGUCCUCCCACAGGUUGUAAGAGAAGCAAACUGAAAAUGUGCUAAGUCCUUCAUCGCCUCCUUUUUCCAGCCUCUUAUUUGAAGAUCUCUGCAUAUUCCCAGACUCGCACUUCUUAGUAAUUUUCACAAAAAUAACUCCAAGUGACAGCUCAGAGUAAACAUCUUAGCUUUAAAGCCUUUACAAUUAGACCUCCUUUUGCAACUGGAAGGGAGCAGCUGUAAUUAAGAAGUAC